This 699-nucleotide ribosomal RNA is filed under the name Neobacillus sp. RNAcentral's name for it is "bacterial SSU rRNA". It matches the Rfam family "Bacterial small subunit ribosomal RNA", at positions 38 to 720 of the family's 1533-position model. The record is from RNAcentral. Lineage: Bacteria; Bacillati; Bacillota; Bacilli; Caryophanales; Bacillaceae.
GGCGGCGUGCCUAAUACAUGCAAGUCGAGCGAAUCUUGAGGUGCUUGCACCUCUUGGUUAGCGGCGGACGGGUGAGUAACACGUGGGCAACCUGCCUGUAAGACUGGGAUAACUUCGGGAAACCGGAGCUAAUACCGGAUAAUCCUUUUCCUCUCAUGAGGAAAAGCUGAAAGUCGGUUUACGCUGACACUUACAGAUGGGCCCGCGGCGCAUUAGCUAGUUGGUGAGGUAACGGCUCACCAAGGCGACGAUGCGUAGCCGACCUGAGAGGGUGAUCGGCCACACUGGGACUGAGACACGGCCCAGACUCCUACGGGAGGCAGCAGUAGGGAAUCUUCCGCAAUGGACGAAAGUCUGACGGAGCAACGCCGCGUGAGCGAUGAAGGCCUUCGGGUCGUAAAGCUCUGUUGUUAGGGAAGAACAAGUACCGGAGUAACUGCCGGUACCUUGACGGUACCUAACCAGAAAGCCACGGCUAACUACGUGCCAGCAGCCGCGGUAAUACGUAGGUGGCAAGCGUUGUCCGGAAUUAUUGGGCGUAAAGCGCGCGCAGGCGGUCCUUUAAGUCUGAUGUGAAAGCCCACGGCUCAACCGUGGAGGGUCAUUGGAAACUGGGGGACUUGAGUACAGAAGAGGAAAGCGGAAUUCCACGUGUAGCGGUGAAAUGCGUAGAGAUGUGGAGGAACACCAGUGGCGAAG